UGCAUAACAGUAUGGUACAAACAGCGGCGGACAGGAAGGCACUUCAGAGAAUGAUUAAUUGGGCCCAAGAAACCACUGGAAGACAUCGCCAGAUCUCCCUGUUUCAGCAGAGUAAGGGAGAUACUGAGGACGAUUCUCAUCCUGGUUAGUGUCUUCUCUCACUUUUACCAUCAGGCAGAAGACACAAGCAGAGCCAGCCGGACAAACAGGUUUAAAAGCAGCUUUUAUCCAUGGGCUGUCAGACUCCUAAAUACAACUAAAAUUGCUCCAUGCGUACAUGGAAACAUAUGACUGUUUUCUCCCUAAUUACUUGUAUAAGGACCAUUUCCUACAUUAUUCAUGUUGUCUUGUAUUUUUGUUAUGGAUUGCACCAGUAGAGGCUAAAUCAGUUUUGUUGUAUACUGUAUAUGCAGAAUGACAAUAAAAUUUGUUAUUAUUAUUGGACUUCUACAGACCCCAAAUUGAGAGCCACUGAUCUAGCCCAACAGAA
Molecule: non-coding RNA, 490 nt
Organism: Notechis scutatus (mainland tiger snake)
Lineage: Eukaryota; Metazoa; Chordata; Lepidosauria; Squamata; Elapidae
Source: RefSeq, a predicted model, not a curated record